GUAGGUGGCAAGCGUUGUCCGGAAUUAUUGGGCGUAAAGCGCGCGCAGGCGGGGUCCUUUAAGUCUGAUGUGAAAGCCCACGGGCUCAACCGUGGAGGGUCAUUGGAAACUGGGGGACUUGAGUACAGAAGAGGAAAGCGGAACUCCAAGUGUAGUGGUGAAAUGCGUAGAGAUUUGGAGGAACACCAGUGGCGAAGGCGGCUUUCUGGUCUGUAACUGACGCUGAGGCGCGAAAGCGUGGGGAGCAAACAGGAUUAGAUACCCUGGUAGUCCACGCCGUAAACGAUGAGUGCUAAGUGUUAGGGGGUUUCCGCCCCUUGGUGCUGCAGCUAACGCAUUAAGCACUCCGCCUGGGGAGUACGGCCGCAAAGGCUG
Molecule: ribosomal RNA, 375 nt
Filed under: uncultured organism
Description: partial 16S ribosomal RNA
Rfam family: Bacterial small subunit ribosomal RNA
Source: RNAcentral